AGAGUUUGAUCAUGGCUCAGAUUGAACGCUGGCGGCAGGCCUAACACAUGCAAGUCGAGCGGUAGAGAGAAGCUUGCUUCUCUUGAGAGCGGCGGACGGGUGAGUAAUGCCUAGGAAUCUGCCUGGUAGUGGGGGAUAACGUCCGGAAACGGACGCUAAUACCGCAUACGUCCUACGGGAGAAAGCAGGGGACCUUCGGGCCUUGCGCUAUCAGAUGAGCCUAGGUCGGAUUAGCUAGUUGGUGGGGUAAUGGCUCACCAAGGCGACGAUCCGUAACUGGUCUGAGAGGAUGAUCAGUCACACUGGAACUGAGACACGGUCCAGACUCCUACGGGAGGCAGCAGUGGGGAAUAUUGGACAAUGGGCGAAAGCCUGAUCCAGCCAUGCCGCGUGUGUGAAGAAGGUCUUCGGAUUGUAAAGCACUUUAAGUUGGGAGGAAGGGCAGUAAAUUAAUACUUUGCUGUUUUGACGUUACCGACAGAAUAAGCACCGGCUAACUCUGUGCCAGCAGCCGCGGUAAUACAGAGGGUGCAAGCGUUAAUCGGAAUUACUGGGCGUAAAGCGCGCGUAGGUGGUUCGUUAAGUUGGAUGUGAAAUCCCCGGGCUCAACCUGGGAACUGCAUUCAAAACUGACGAGCUAGAGUAUGGUAGAGGGUGGUGGAAUUUCCUGUGUAGCGGUGAAAUGCGUAGAUAUAGGAAGGAACACCAGUGGCGAAGGCGACCACCUGGACUGAUACUGACACUGAGGUGCGAAAGCGUGGGGAGCAAACAGGAUUAGAUACCCCGGUAGUCCAA
This 795-nucleotide ribosomal RNA is filed under the name uncultured bacterium. Its description in RNAcentral is "bacterial SSU rRNA". It matches the Rfam family "Bacterial small subunit ribosomal RNA", at positions 8 to 798 of the family's 1533-position model. The record is from RNAcentral.